This 236-nucleotide unclassified non-coding RNA is filed under the name uncultured Mortierella. RNAcentral describes it as "sequence contains ITS2". Lineage: Eukaryota; Fungi; Mortierellomycota; Mortierellomycetes; Mortierellales; Mortierellaceae. The record is from RNAcentral.
ACAACCUCAACUCCCUUCUUCAUUGUGGAGAAAGAGUUGGAUUUGAGCAUUUCCACAAACUUUUGGAGGAUUGCUUGAAAUAUGAGGUUCGGCCGGCAGUUGCCUGGGCUACAAGCAUUUCAUACUUAAUCCCGUCAAACGGAUUAUAUCCUUUGCUGCAGCCAACAUACAGGGUAACUUUUGCCAGUGUUCCGACUGAUGCAGGAAAGUUGAGAACCUUUUUGCUUCUCUUCUAA